Long non-coding RNA from Gorilla gorilla gorilla (western lowland gorilla), 2532 nucleotides. RefSeq lists it as uncharacterized. Lineage: Eukaryota; Metazoa; Chordata; Mammalia; Primates; Hominidae. The transcript is spliced from 3 exons. The record is from RefSeq and is a predicted model, not a curated record.
CCCCGUUGCCAGCACUUGCUCCCGGCCUGGGGGGUCUGGAAUCUCCCUUUGCCCCCGCUCCGUUCUCCGGCCGCUGCGGAGAGGAGGAGCCGCUCCGCCGGCUCUGCGGCCGACCGACCGGAAGGCGCCUCGUCCUGUUUCGCGUUCAGAGAAGCGCCUUUCCUAAGGGAGGCCGGCUCAGUGGCGGGGAUGUCGGUGAUGUAAUGAGGGCAUCUACGCAGAGGCUUCCGCGCUGGGGAAGGCUUCUCUGGCUGCCCAGGGCUUGGAAAUCCAACCAGAGCCUCCAGGAGCGUCUCCUGCCCUCCUGCUGGCCCCCAGACCCCAUCGUACAUCCCAGCCUCCUGCCACAGGCAUCUGGUCUUGUGGCUACUUAGAUGGGGGUGGGGGACACGGGCACCGGCCACAAUGCAUCCUCCCCUCCCUGUACCCAGACACACUGGACUUGACGUGUUUCGCUCCCACGGGACAGGCGUGCAUAGGUCCCCACCUCCUUGCCCCAUUCAGCACGUGGCAGAGGUCUCGGCAGUGCCCCUUGUUCCACCACUGUGACUGUGCACACACCUGCAGCUUCAGCGGCCACACACACACCCACUGGCCUACCCCGAGGCCACACUCACCAGAGGCCCCCUGGAUCAGUCUCAGUUUACCAGGAUAAGCCACAGGACACGUGGCCUGAGGGCCAUUGAGGAAGAGGGAACAAGGAAGGGAGGGAGAGAAGGGUGGCCUCUCCACGCCCAGUUUAGGAGGCUCCAUUUGAACAAGGCAGAAGCCAUCCCUCUUUUGUCUUCUCUGGGCACCUGUCCGUCACCACUGCCCUGCUGCACCUUCCCUGGAGGAUGCUCAGGAAUUCGGGACAGCCACAUAGCAUUCAGCCUAAACCCAGGCUCCAGAUCCACCCUGCCUGUGAAUCAUUUGCUCAUUAAUUUGCCAUUAUGACCAUUAUGACCAAGUAUCUCCUGUGGAAUCCAAGCCUCAUCCCCUCCAGAAAGGGAUUUGGGAGUGCUUCCUAAGCCAUGCCCGACACAGAGCCACUUUUUGAGUCAACGCUACUGUUUUUCCUUAUUGAGAACCCACUAUAUGCAGACAGUGUGCUCGGUGCUGGGGCUGCAGAAAUCAAGUUCUCUGCCCUGGAGUGAGCACACCGUCUAGUGGGGGAAGCAAAGCUUGUAAACGAAGACUGCAGCCUAAUGUACUGAGAGCUUUGACAGCCCAGGACAGGGAGAGCUCAGAUCUGGGGUGUGGCCAGGGAAGGUUUCCUGGACCCCUGAGCUCAGUCAUUGGCCCAAAGAAAGCCAGGGUGGUCCCCACUAUCUGCAUCUGCAUCACUUCUGGCAGCCCUGCAUCUGGUCACCUGUGUGCCUCUCUGCCCAGCCACCUGCCUUCCAGCCUCACCUCCAGAUUGCACUGGGCCCAGGAGCAUGUCUGGACACCUGCCUCCAUCAGGCGGCUCAUCACACCCAGCUCCAGAGAGACAGGACUGAGAAUAGCAGAAUGGAAUGAAAAUAAUACCUCCAGAAAAAGGAUCUGAACGUGUGUGUUUGGCUUAUUUCUUGGGACAGGGGCUGUUAUGCUGUGCUUCAGCACGAGCCAGUUAGCGAACAGCACGCACCUCAGUGCUCCGCUGUGAUUGUUUCAGAGUGUCGCGCAGGCCUGACUCUGCAGACCCCACCAGCAGGAACCAUGCCCUCAUCACCUCCUACCUCCAGUACCUGGCACCAGGGCGGUACAAAGUUUUUCAGAUUCCCCAGGCCCCAUGCAGCCCUCCUGAGUCCCUGGUGCCUUGUGGACUGGGGUGGGUGGCCCUGAGCAGGGGGUGGGGGAAGCCUGUGCUCCUGGUGGCUGUGCUGCCCCCGCUCCUGGGGCGGAGGGAGGCUGCGUGCUGGGAAGAGCUGUCACUCCAGUGCUAAUAUUCACUACUUAAAAAAAGAGGCAAGAAAAAAUAUCCCAUUCGCCCUGAAUCUGAGAAGGGCCUUGUUAGGCAGGCAGGAACUGAGCUGUAAUUAUUUCUGCGCUCCUGGGCACCACUAUAAAUAUCAGGCAAGGGAGGCACCUCAAAAGGUUCCGAUGGUUCCAAGGCUUUGGAGAUCUCCUGGUUCCUUCCUGACCCCAUCCUAUGUCACCUUCCCUGGCAGGGGCCUUGGAGGGUGCAGGCACUGCCUCUCCUCCAAUUGGGCAGGGCGUGUCUUCCCCAGCUUCCCUGAGCGUGCCUGCCUGGGAAAUUCUAGCCCACGUAACCUUGCCAGAUGCCCUGAAUCUCUUCAGUGUGUACCUCUGUGAAAUGGACACACAGGAUUCUCCCUGGGAGAGCAUUUGCUAAAAGGCGUGCAGGGGAAUACUAGCCUCCAAGGUGGCCUGUGUUUUUAACAAAAGGUGGGCCAAAUGAGUCCUGUGGUCAGAUGACUUGGGGGAGUGUUUCUUCUGACCCCUACCCAUGUCCUUUGGAAAUUCCCAAGGUGGCACAUGGCAAAUCAUAGUAGAAAGGAAGCAACUCCACACUCCCUUUAGGGGAGGAAGGGAGGUGAAUUCCUCAUC